This 1068-nucleotide long non-coding RNA is filed under the name Gallus gallus (chicken). Lineage: Eukaryota; Metazoa; Chordata; Aves; Galliformes; Phasianidae. The record is from RNAcentral.
CCGACACCGGCACCGCCGCCCCGUCCCGCAUCGCCGCCAUCAUCCUGCCCCGCACGGAGCCCCGCGGGGCGGCACAGCAAUAACGGCGGCGGGGAUCCGUCAGAGGAGCAACGGGAGCGAAACCGAACCGACCCGGAACCGCAGCGACGGCGAACCGCUCUGCGCUCCGCUGGGCGGAUGAGGGCGGAACAGCGCCCCCUGGUGGACACUGCGCCGCGGUCCUCCCAGAGGACAUAUAUAUGUGUGUAUGUCGACGUGGGUCUAUGUAUGACGAUGUAUGUCGAUGUAUGUUGAUGUAUGACGAUGUAUGACCACGUAUGUUGAUGUAUGACGAUGUAUGUCUGUGUAUGUCCAUGUAUGUUGAUGUAUGUCGAUGUGUGUCUGUGUAUGUUAAUGUAUGUCAAUGUAUGGCUAUGUAUGUAGAUAUAUGUCAAUGUAUGUCUGUGUAUGUCAGUGAGUGUCUAUGUAUGUCUAUGUAUGUCCACAUAUGUCUGUAUAUGUCUAUGUAUGUGGCUGUAUGUUGAUGCAUGACUAUGUACAACUAUGUAUGUUGAUGUAUGUCGAUGUAUGUCAACCUAUGCCUAUGUAUGUUGGAUGUAUGUCAACGUAUGUCGAUGCAUGACUAUGUACAACUAUGUAUGUUCAUGUAUACUGAUGUAUGUUGAUGUAUGUCAGUGUAUGUUGAUCUAUGACCAUGUAUGUUGGAUGUAUGUCAAUGUAUGACUAUGUACAACUACAUAUGUCAAUGUAUGUCAACCUAUGCCUAUGUAUGCUGGAUGUAUGUCCAUGUAUGUCGAUGCAUGACUAUGUACAACUAUGUAUGUUGAUGUAUACUGAUGUAUGUUGAUGUAUGUCAGUGUAUGUUGAUCUAUGACCAUGUAUGUUGGAUGUAUGUCCAUGUAUGUCGAUGUAUGACUACGUACAACUACAUAUGUCGAUGUAUGUCAACCUAUGCCUAUGUAUGUCGGGUGUAUGACCAUGUAUGUCCAUGUAUGUCGAUAUAUGUCCAUGUAUGUCGAUGUCUGUAUCAAUACAUGCACAGACGGCACCAAUCCGUGUCGGGUCAGC